Molecule: long non-coding RNA, 254 nt
Filed under: Elaeis guineensis (African oil palm)
Lineage: Eukaryota; Viridiplantae; Streptophyta; Magnoliopsida; Arecales; Arecaceae
Description: long non-coding RNA (EGUI_LNC011173)
Source: RNAcentral
AGGGCUGAGUUAGGCCAAUGGCAGCCCAUAUUUGACCUAACUUGUUUUGGGUUGGGGCGGGAAGGAACACGAAUCAAAAGGUUGGAUUUUCUUGGGCCAGGGCUGCCUUAUGGCCCUCAAACUGCUAUACCUAUGGUUUGUUUCCAGAUGUGGUAAAUCUAUGAAGUAUGUUUAUGUCUAUGGAUAGUAUUAGAGACCCGGGGUUCAUUCUGACCUUCUCACGCCACGUUAUGAACAAUAUAGCACGAAGCCUU